RNAcentral lists this ribosomal RNA (484 nucleotides) under uncultured bacterium. RNAcentral describes it as "partial 16S ribosomal RNA". It matches the Rfam family "Bacterial small subunit ribosomal RNA", at positions 30 to 507 of the family's 1533-position model. The record is from RNAcentral.
AUUGAACGCUGGCGGCAGGCCUAACACAUGCAAGUCGAGCGGAUGAAGGGAGCUUGCUCCUGGAUUCAGCGGCGGACGGGUGAGUAAUGCCUAGGAAUCUGCCUGGUAGUGGGGGAUAACGUCCGGAAACGGGCGCUAAUACCGCAUACGUCCUGAGGGAGAAAGUGGGGGAUCUUCGGACCUCACGCUAUCAGAUGAGCCUAGGUCGGAUUAGCUAGUUGGUGGGGUAAAGGCCUACCGAGGCGACGAUCCGUAACUGGUCUGAGAGGAUGAUCAGUCACACUGGAACUGAGACACGGUCCAGACUCCUACGGGAGGCAGCAGUGGGGAAUAUUGGACAAUGGGCGAAAGCCUGAUCCAGCCAUGCCGCGUGUGUGAAGAAGGUCUUCGGAUUGUAAAGCACUUUAAGUUGGGAGGAAGGGCAGUAAGUUAAUACCUUGCUGUUUUGACGUUACCAACAGAAUAAGCACCGGCUGACUUCGUG